This 676-nucleotide long non-coding RNA is filed under the name Rosa chinensis. Its description in RNAcentral is "sRNA RchiOBHm_Chr5g0053131". Lineage: Eukaryota; Viridiplantae; Streptophyta; Magnoliopsida; Rosales; Rosaceae. The record is from RNAcentral.
GGCUCGACAAGCUGCGUCGAAGGGUGCAGUGGCGGAGGGGGAGGCAGCAGCCGUCAGUGAUCUGGACUCCUUUGCCGAGUAUGCGCCAUUCAUGACAGAAGGGGAGCGGGCGUUCCUUUUCCAUUUGUGCGAGCGGCUGGGGUUCGGGGGUCUGGCGGGCAUAUCGCGCCCGACGGCAAUUGACCAAUCGCCCUUCAGCUCGGCGUUUGGUCAAAUAUCUGCGGGGUUACAUGAUAUGUUCGAGGCGGCGUCUAAGCAGCCCCGGAUUGAGGAAGAGCUCAGGGGGGAGAUCGGAGGUCUCCAGAGGGAGCUGGCGGAGGCCAAGGAGAGAUUGGCGGAGGCCGAGCAGGGGCUGGCCAAGGCGGAGUGUGACUAUGCGGACGCCCGCGGCAAGCUUAAUGCGGCCAUAAGGCGGGACCUGGAGAGGAAUGAACGCGUCUCCCAGUUGGAGCAGGAGAUCGCAUUGCUGCAGGAGCGGAUAGCCGCUAAAGAUAAGAAGCUCAUUAUUGUGCAGCGGGAGUCUGCCGCCAGACUGGGUGAGAUGCAGCGGCUGGACGGGGAGGUCAACCGCCUGAAAAAUGAACAGAGUUCUUCUGCAGCCGCCGCCGUUGAAGCGUUCAAGAUGUCGGCGGAGUAUAAAAAGACAUUGACCGAAGCGGCGAAGUCUGGGGCCCGG